CUAAGGUGAUAACACUUCGGCAAUAGCCGGAGGGCAAAACAUUCAGCGAAGUCCGGUGAGAUUCCGGCACUGUCCCGCAACGGUAAUGCAGAUACUCCAAUGUUUAUUGGGGUAAUUGCAAGUCCGGUCGCCUAAUGCGUAGCUUCAUC
This 149-nucleotide non-coding RNA is filed under the name Acidimicrobium sp. The record is from RNAcentral. Lineage: Bacteria; Bacillati; Actinomycetota; Acidimicrobiia; Acidimicrobiales; Acidimicrobiaceae.